This 2900-nucleotide ribosomal RNA is filed under the name Enterobacter cloacae. Its description in RNAcentral is "bacterial LSU rRNA". It matches the Rfam family "Bacterial large subunit ribosomal RNA". Lineage: Bacteria; Pseudomonadati; Pseudomonadota; Gammaproteobacteria; Enterobacterales; Enterobacteriaceae. RNAcentral also lists the same sequence under 1 other name. The record is from RNAcentral.
UUAAGCGACUAAGCGUACACGGUGGAUGCCCUGGCAGUCAGAGGCGAUGAAGGACGUGCUAAUCUGCGAAAAGCGUCGGUAAGGUGAUAUGAACCGUUAUAACCGGCGAUGUCCGAAUGGGGAAACCCAGUGCAAUUCGUUGCACUAUCGUUAACUGAAUACAUAGGUUAACGAGGCGAACCGGGGGAACUGAAACAUCUAAGUACCCCGAGGAAAAGAAAUCAACCGAGAUUCCCCCAGUAGCGGCGAGCGAACGGGGAGCAGCCCAGAGUCUGAAUCAGCUUGUGUGUUAGUGGAACGGUCUGGAAAGUCCGACGGUACAGGGUGAUAGUCCCGUACACCAAAAUGCACAGGUUGUGAACUCGAAGAGUAGGGCGGGACACGUGGUAUCCUGUCUGAAUAUGGGGGGACCAUCCUCCAAGGCUAAAUACUCCUGACUGACCGAUAGUGAACCAGUACCGUGAGGGAAAGGCGAAAAGAACCCCGGCGAGGGGAGUGAAAAAGAACCUGAAACCGUGUACGUACAAGCAGUGGGAGCACCUUCGGGUGUGACUGCGUACCUUUUGUAUAAUGGGUCAGCGACUUAUAUUCUGUAGCAAGGUUAACCGUAUAGGGGAGCCGCAGGGAAACCGAGUCUUAACUGGGCGUUAAGUUGCAGGGUAUAGACCCGAAACCCGGUGAUCUAGCCAUGGGCAGGUUGAAGGUUGGGUAACACUAACUGGAGGACCGAACCGACUAAUGUUGAAAAAUUAGCGGAUGACUUGUGGCUGGGGGUGAAAGGCCAAUCAAACCGGGAGAUAGCUGGUUCUCCCCGAAAGCUAUUUAGGUAGCGCCUCGUGAACUCAUCUUCGGGGGUAGAGCACUGUUUCGGCUAGGGGGUCAUCCCGACUUACCAACCCGAUGCAAACUACGAAUACCGAAGAAUGUUAUCACGGGAGACACACGGCGGGUGCUAACGUCCGUCGUGAAGAGGGAAACAACCCAGACCGCCAGCUAAGGUCCCAAAGUCAUGGUUAAGUGGGAAACGAUGUGGGAAGGCACAGACAGCCAGGAUGUUGGCUUAGAAGCAGCCAUCAUUUAAAGAAAGCGUAAUAGCUCACUGGUCGAGUCGGCCUGCGCGGAAGAUGUAACGGGGCUAAACCAUGCACCGAAGCUGCGGCAGCGACACUAUGUGUUGUUGGGUAGGGGAGCGUUCUGUAAGCCUGCGAAGGUGUGCUGUGAGGCAUGCUGGAGGUAUCAGAAGUGCGAAUGCUGACAUAAGUAACGAUAAAGCGGGUGAAAAGCCCGCUCGCCGGAAGACCAAGGGUUCCUGUCCAACGUUAAUCGGGGCAGGGUGAGUCGACCCCUAAGGCGAGGCCGAAAGGCGUAGUCGAUGGGAAACAGGUUAAUAUUCCUGUACUUGGUGUUACUGCGAAGGGGGGACGGAGAAGGCUAUGUUAGCCGGGCGACGGUUGUCCCGGUUUAAGCAUGUAGGCUGGUUGUCCAGGCAAAUCCGGAUAAUCAAGGCUGAGGUGUGAUGACGAGGCACUACGGUGCUGAAGUAACAAAUGCCCUGCUUCCAGGAAAAGCCUCUAAGCAUCAGGUAACAUCAAAUCGUACCCCAAACCGACACAGGUGGUCAGGUAGAGAAUACCAAGGCGCUUGAGAGAACUCGGGUGAAGGAACUAGGCAAAAUGGUGCCGUAACUUCGGGAGAAGGCACGCUGGUGUGUAGGUGAAGUCCCUGCGGAUGGAGCUGAGACCAGUCGAAGAUACCAGCUGGCUGCAACUGUUUAUUAAAAACACAGCACUGUGCAAACACGAAAGUGGACGUAUACGGUGUGACGCCUGCCCGGUGCCGGAAGGUUAAUUGAUGGGGUUAUCCGUAAGGAGAAGCUCUUGAUCGAAGCCCCGGUAAACGGCGGCCGUAACUAUAACGGUCCUAAGGUAGCGAAAUUCCUUGUCGGGUAAGUUCCGACCUGCACGAAUGGCGUAAUGAUGGCCAGGCUGUCUCCACCCGAGACUCAGUGAAAUUGAACUCGCUGUGAAGAUGCAGUGUACCCGCGGCAAGACGGAAAGACCCCGUGAACCUUUACUAUAGCUUGACACUGAACAUUGAGCCUUGAUGUGUAGGAUAGGUGGGAGGCUUUGAAGCGUGGACGCCAGUCUGCGUGGAGCCAACCUUGAAAUACCACCCUUUAAUGUUUGAUGUUCUAACGUUGGCCCCUUACCGGGGUUGCGGACAGUGUCUGGUGGGUAGUUUGACUGGGGCGGUCUCCUCCCAAAGCGUAACGGAGGAGCACGAAGGUUAGCUAAUCCUGGUCGGACAUCAGGAGGUUAGUGCAAUGGCAUAAGCUAGCUUGACUGCGAGCGUGACGGCGCGAGCAGGUGCGAAAGCAGGUCAUAGUGAUCCGGUGGUUCUGAAUGGAAGGGCCAUCGCUCAACGGAUAAAAGGUACUCCGGGGAUAACAGGCUGAUACCGCCCAAGAGUUCAUAUCGACGGCGGUGUUUGGCACCUCGAUGUCGGCUCAUCACAUCCUGGGGCUGAAGUAGGUCCCAAGGGUAUGGCUGUUCGCCAUUUAAAGUGGUACGCGAGCUGGGUUUAGAACGUCGUGAGACAGUUCGGUCCCUAUCUGCCGUGGGCGCUGGAGAAUUGAGGGGGGCUGCUCCUAGUACGAGAGGACCGGAGUGGACGCAUCACUGGUGUUCGGGUUGUCAUGCCAAUGGCACUGCCCGGUAGCUAAAUGCGGAAGAGAUAAGUGCUGAAAGCAUCUAAGCACGAAACUUGCCCCGAGAUGAGUUCUCCCUGAGACUUUAAGUCUCCUGAAGGAACGUUAAAGACGAUGACGUUGAUAGGCCGGGUGUGUAAGCGCAGCGAUGCGUUGAGCUAACCGGUACUAAUGAACCGUGAGGCUUAACCUU